GGGCCCGCACAAGCGGUGGAGCAUGUGGUUUAAUUCGAUGAUACGCGAGGAACCUUACCAGGACUUAAAUGCACAAUGACAGAUUGGGAAACCAAUCCUUCUUCGGACAAUGUGCAAGGUGCUGCAUGGUUGUCGUCAGCUCGUGCCGUGAGGUGUUGGGUUAAGUCCCGUAACGAGCGCAACCCCUAUUCUUAGUUGCCAGCGGUUCGGCCGGGGACUCUAAGAAAACUGCCAGCGCAAGCUGUGAGGAAGGUGGGGAUGACGUCAAAUCAUCACGGCCCUUACGUCCUGGGCUACACACGUGCUACAAUGGUAGGUACAAAGGGCAGCCACUUGGUGACAAGAAGCUAAUCUCUAAAACCUAUCUCAGUUCGGAUUGGAGUCUGAAACUCGACUCUAUGAAGCUGGAAUCGCUAGUAAUCGCGUAUC
This 429-nucleotide ribosomal RNA is filed under the name uncultured bacterium. Its description in RNAcentral is "bacterial SSU rRNA". It matches the Rfam family "Bacterial small subunit ribosomal RNA", at positions 917 to 1350 of the family's 1533-position model. The record is from RNAcentral.